Molecule: ribosomal RNA, 450 nt
Filed under: uncultured bacterium
Lineage: Bacteria
Description: bacterial SSU rRNA
Rfam family: Bacterial small subunit ribosomal RNA
Source: RNAcentral
GUGGGGAAUAUUGGACAAUGGGCGAAAGCCUGAUCCAGCCAUGCCGCGUGUGUGAAGAAGGUCUUCGGAUUGUAAAGCACUUUAAGUUGGGAGGAAGGGCAGUAAGUUAAUACCUUGCUGUUUUGACGUUACCGACAGAAUAAGCACCGGCUAACUUCGUGCCAGCAGCCGCGGUAAUACGAAGGGUGCAAGCGUUAAUCGGAAUUACUGGGCGUAAAGCGCGCGUAGGUGGUUUUGUAAGUUGGAGGUGAAAUCACCGGGCUCAACCUGGGAACUGCCUCCAAAACUGCAUGACUAGAGUACGGUAGAGGGUAGUGGAAUUUCCUGUGUAGCGGUGAAAUGCGUAGAUAUAGGAAGGAACACCAGUGGCGAAGGCGACUACCUGGACUGAUACUGACACUGAGGUGCGAAAGCGUGGGGAGCAAACAGGAUUAGAUACCCCGGUAGUCC